Long non-coding RNA from Choloepus didactylus (southern two-toed sloth), 382 nucleotides. RefSeq lists it as uncharacterized. The transcript is spliced from 4 exons. NCBI's taxonomy places the organism in Eukaryota, Metazoa, Chordata, Mammalia, Pilosa, Megalonychidae. The record is from RefSeq and is a predicted model, not a curated record.
UGCUAACAGAGGCUUAAAUCUCAAGCUGAAGAGUGUUACCAGGAGAAGCCACAGAUGAAAUGCUGGAGGAAUUUUAUUAGAACUCCAUUUGCUCAAAGCUGACAAUUUAUUUCUCUUGGGAAAAAAAGAGGAGAAGAAAGAAUAUUCUACUACGAAGAUGUCACAGCUCAUUACCCUAUUCUGCCACAGACAAAGUGGCAGCAGAUAUUUCAAGACAAAGUUUACAGAGAAGCAGAAGGAGAGGUGGAAAAGGAGAAAGAGAGGUGCAGGAGCCAGAGAAGUCCCCUCAUCCUGGGAAGAAGUAAACGAAGUGGGUGGAGAGAGUCCUGGAGUGUUCCAUUAAUGAAACCUCCCCACAGAGAAACAGGAAGCCAAGGAUAGA